CCUACGGGAGGCUGCAGUGGGGAAUAUUGCACAAUGGGGGAAACCCUGAUGCAGCGACGCCGCGUGAGUGAAGAAGUAUUUCGGUAUGUAAAGCUCUAUCAGCAGGGAAGAAAAUGACGGUACCUGAUUAAGAAGCCCCGGCUAACUACGUGCCAGCAGCCGCGGUAAUACGUAGGGGGCAAGCGUUAUCCGGAUUUACUGGGUGUAAGGGGAGCGUAGACGGCAGCGCAAGUCUGAAGUGAAAUGCCGGGGCUUAACCCCGGAACUGCUUUGGAAACUGUGCAGCUAGAGUGCAGGAGAGGUAGGUGGAAUUCCUGGUGUAGCGGUGAAAUGCGUAGAUAUUAGGAGGAACACCAGUGGCGAAGGCGGCUUACUGGACUGUAACUGACGUUGAGGCUCGAAAGCGUGGGGAGCAAACAGGAUUAGAUACCCCAGUAGUC
RNAcentral lists this ribosomal RNA (440 nucleotides) under uncultured bacterium. Its description in RNAcentral is "partial 16S ribosomal RNA". It matches the Rfam family "Bacterial small subunit ribosomal RNA", at positions 338 to 795 of the family's 1533-position model. The record is from RNAcentral.